Molecule: ribosomal RNA, 256 nt
Filed under: uncultured bacterium
Lineage: Bacteria
Description: partial 16S ribosomal RNA
Rfam family: Bacterial small subunit ribosomal RNA
Source: RNAcentral
UACGGGGGGGAGCAAGCGUUGUUCGGAUUUACUGGGCGUAAAGGGCGCGUAGGCGGUCGUGACAAGUCACUUGUGAAAUCUCCGGGGCUUAACUCGGAACGGUCAAGUGAUACUGUCGGACUAGAGUACAGAAGGGGCAACUGGAAUUCUCGGUGUAGCGGUGAAAUGCGUAGAUAUCGAGAGGAACACCGGUGGCGAAGGCGGGUCUCUGGGCCGAUACUGACGUGGAGGAGCGAAAGCGUGGGGAGCGAACAGG